Molecule: ribosomal RNA, 622 nt
Filed under: Bacillus inaquosorum
Lineage: Bacteria; Bacillati; Bacillota; Bacilli; Caryophanales; Bacillaceae
Description: bacterial SSU rRNA
Rfam family: Bacterial small subunit ribosomal RNA
Source: RNAcentral
CGCAAUGGACGAAAGUCNGACGGAGCACGCCGCGUGAGUGAUGAAGGUUUUCGGAUCGUAAAGCUCUGUUGUUAGGGAAGAACAAGUACCGUUCGAAUAGGGCGGUACCUUGACGGUACCUAACCAGAAAGCCACGGCUAACUACGUGCCAGCAGCCGCGGUAAUACGUAGGUGGCAAGCGUUGUCCGGAAUUAUUGGGCGUAAAGGGCUCGCAGGCGGUUUCUUAAGUCUGAUGUGAAAGCCCCCGGCUCAACCGGGGAGGGUCAUUGGAAACUGGGGAACUUGAGUGCAGAAGAGGAGAGUGGAAUUCCACGUGUAGCGGUGAAAUGCGUAGAGAUGUGGAGGAACACCAGUGGCGAAGGCGACUCUCUGGUCUGUAACUGACGCUGAGGAGCGAAAGCGUGGGGAGCGAACAGGAUUAGAUACCCUGGUAGUCCACGCCGUAAACGAUGAGUGCUAAGUGUUAGGGGGUUUCCGCCCCUUAGUGCUGCAGCUAACGCAUUAAGCACUCCGCCUGGGGAGUACGGUCGCAAGACUGAAACUCAAAGGAAUUGACGGGGGCCCGCACAAGCGGUGGAGCAUGUGGUUUAAUUCGAAGCAACGCGAAGAACCUUACCAGGUC